CCUACGGGAGGCUGCAGUGAGGAAUAUUGGUCAAUGGACGAGAGUCUGAACCAGCCAAGUAGCGUGAAGGAUGACUGCCCUAUGGGUUGUAAACUUCUUUUAUAUGGGAAUAAAACGUUCCACGUGUGGGAUGUUGUAUGUACCAUAUGAAUAAGGAUCGGCUAACUCCGUGCCAGCAGCCGCGGUAAUACGGAGGAUCCGAGCGUUAGCCGGAUUUAUUGGGUUUAAAGGGAGCGUAGGUGGAUUGUUAAGUCAGUUGUGAAAGUUUGCGGCUCAACCGUAAAAUUGCAGUUGAAACUGGCAGUCUUGAGUACAGUAGAGGUGAGCGGAAUUCGUGGUGUAGCGGUGAAAUGCUUAGAUAUCACGAAGAACUCCGAUUGCGAAGGCAGCUCACUGGACUGCAACUGACACUGAGGCUCGAAAGUGUGGGUAUCAAACAGGAUUAGAUACCCCAGUAGUC
Molecule: ribosomal RNA, 460 nt
Filed under: uncultured bacterium
Lineage: Bacteria
Description: partial 16S ribosomal RNA
Rfam family: Bacterial small subunit ribosomal RNA
Source: RNAcentral